UACGGAGGGAGCUAGCGUUGUUCGGAAAUACUGGGCGUAAAGCGCACGUAGGCGGCGCAGCAAGUCAGGGGUGAAAUCCCGGGGCUCAACCCCGGAACUGCCCUUGAAACUGCAGUGCUAGAAUUCUGGAGAGGCGAGUGGAAUUCCGAGUGUAGAGGUGAAAUUCGUAGAUAUUCGGAAGAACACCAGUGGCGAGGGCGACUCGCUGGACAGACAUUGACGCUGAGGUGCGAAAGCGUGGGGAGCAAACAGG
This 253-nucleotide ribosomal RNA is filed under the name uncultured bacterium. Its description in RNAcentral is "partial 16S ribosomal RNA". It matches the Rfam family "Bacterial small subunit ribosomal RNA", at positions 524 to 776 of the family's 1533-position model. The record is from RNAcentral.